This 254-nucleotide ribosomal RNA is filed under the name uncultured bacterium. RNAcentral's name for it is "partial 16S ribosomal RNA". It matches the Rfam family "Bacterial small subunit ribosomal RNA", at positions 524 to 776 of the family's 1533-position model. The record is from RNAcentral.
UACAGAGGUCCCGAGCGUUGUUCGGAUUUAUUGGGCGUAAAGGGUGCGUAGGCGGCGGAGUAAGUUGGGUGUGAAAUCCCGGGGCUCAACCUCGGAAUUGCAUUCAAUACUGCUUCGCUAGAGUACUGGAGAGGAGGCUGGAAUUUACGGUGUAGCAGUGAAAUGCGUAGAUAUCGUAAGGAAGGCCGGUGGCGAAAGCGAGCCUCUGGACAGUUACUGACGCUGAUGCACGAAGGCCAAGGGGAGCAAACGGG